This is a long non-coding RNA of Lycium barbarum (goji berry), 693 nucleotides long. RefSeq lists it as uncharacterized. The record is from RefSeq and is a predicted model, not a curated record. Lineage: Eukaryota; Viridiplantae; Streptophyta; Magnoliopsida; Solanales; Solanaceae. The transcript has 2 exons.
UGGGCCUCUUAUUAUAAAUCUGGAUCGGGUCCAGCCCAAACCAGGCGGCUGUGACCCGGCCCAAACCCCUUUAAAAAAGGAAGAAGAGAGAGGAGCAUUUAAAGUGGGGUAUACCCCCCAUUUCCCCAUUUCCCACUUUUUGAGAAAAACCUUCCCCCUACCCCUUCUCUCUCUUCCUUUUUCCUUAACCCUAGCGCCGCCUACAAAAUUUUUCUCUCUCUAUGCCAAAAAUGGAAAAAUUUCAUAGCAAUGGUACUCGUCGCAUGCAGCUUUACCAUGUCCAUUUUGGUGAAAGAAUUAAAUAUCAUACCUGAAUUCGUGGUUUCAAGACGCGAAUAUGGUGCAGACACUCAGUUUGGUGAUCCGCCAGCCUAAGACUUCUGCCCAGCUGAUUGGAGAGCGCCAUUGUUCCGGAGCUUGAGUCAUUUUGGUACAGAUCCUUUGAUAUAGACUUAUGCAUAUCCAUGGGUAUGGCGGGGCCCUAUCCUAUGAUAUUUCAUUGUUAUACUCUUAGAGGUCUGUAGACAUGUGUGGGUUGUAUAUAUGUUUGGUUAGAUAUAUCGACGUAGUUCGUUUUGGAUAUUCCCGUAUACAGUGGCAGCCUUGUCGGCUUGCAUAUUUUGUUAUGUUUUGGUUAGCUGUAACUCUUCAGGAGACAGGUUCAUUCUGAUAUAUGACAUUAUGAGUCUACAA